This 445-nucleotide ribosomal RNA is filed under the name uncultured bacterium. RNAcentral describes it as "bacterial SSU rRNA". It matches the Rfam family "Bacterial small subunit ribosomal RNA", at positions 354 to 796 of the family's 1533-position model. The record is from RNAcentral.
GUGAGGAAUAUUGGUCAAUGGGCGCAAGCCUGAACCAGCCAUGCCGCGUGCAGGAAGACGGUCCUAUGGAUUGUAAACUGCUUUUAUUUGGGAAUAAACUCCGGUACGUGUACCGGCCUGAAGGUACCAAAUGAAUAAGCACCGGCUAACUCCGUGCCAGCAGCCGCGGUAAUACGGAGGGUGCAAGCGUUAUCCGGAAUCAUUGGGUUUAAAGGGUCCGCAGGCGGUCUUAUAAGUCAGUGGUGAAAGCCUACAGCUCAACUGUAGAACUGCCAUUGAUACUGUAGGACUUGAAUUCGAUCGAAGUGGGCGGAAUGUGACAUGUAGCGGUGAAAUGCUUAGAUAUGUCACAGAACACCGAUAGCGAAGGCAGCUCACUAGGUCUGGAUUGACGCUCAGGGACGAAAGCGUGGGGAGCAAACAGGAUUAGAAACCCUAGUAGUCC